AUUUUAUUCAAACUCCAAAAAUAAAUAAUCUAAUGAGAAUGUUCUAUACUCAGCCUUCCAACCACAUUCGUUGGUAAAAAUAUACCAGAACUUCUAGCCACACACAUUGGCAAAAUAGAUAUCAACCAUCAGAAAAAAAUUUCCAUAUCCUUCAUUAGCAAAACAAAUAUCAUGAACUCCGGCCAAAAUCAUUGGAAUUCCAAUCACUAUUACUCACCACUAUAUAUUAAAACAAUUAUCUGCAAUACCGUUACCAUUGAACGAAUCAAAAUCUCAUUCUAUGAUUUCCUUCAUAUCCGCAAAUAAACUAAAUUACCCAUAGUAAAUUUAAAAGCCUUUUAAAUCUUUCUUUCCGAUCAAAUAAAUUAGUGACUCGACUUCCAGAGUACUAUUCACAUUCCAUCAACCAAAGAAGAGAAAUUUAAAUAUAUUACAACUCUAUUGGCCAACAAAACUUAAUCACAUAGCCAUGAGAAUACGUGCUCUUCAUCAGUUUUGUUCGCAAUAUCAAAUCCAACAAUGACAACUCAUGACUAUGGCAACUAAACCAAUCAAAUUUGUAAUUACAAUCUUUCCCCAUCAAUUCUUUUUAUCAAACGUAAAAAAUAAAUAAAUAAAUAAAAAAAAAACACACAACUGGAAAAUCGUUUAUAUUAAACGAACUCGAAAUCUCACUCUAUAAUUUUAUUCAUGUCCACCAAUAAUUCAAUAAAUGAAGAAUCUUCAUGAUCUUUUCACUAUUCUAGUUAUGAUGAACAAAUCAUAACCUCAGUUUAUGAUUUCAUUCUAGUUCGAUAAAUCAUCAUAACUUUCAUAAAUAUUAGAAUUUCCAACCAUAAUUAUCAUUGACAAAACAAUGAUUUCAUCCCUUUUUUUGUUUUUUUUUAUCCCAAUCAGUGACUAGUAGACGGGAAAAGACUGUAUUAUACUUGGCCAAUACACAUCACACUUUUUUAUCACUUCAAUAAGUCAUUCUCACAGCCCACACAUGGAGCUUCUCCCCGAAAACACUGGGUCUUUGUGCCCAUUCAACCAUUCCUUUACAUUUCACGGGUCAUUUCGCCCAAUUCAUCGUUCACGAGCCACUUUGCCCAAUCACACAUCCUCGGGCCUUUUUGCCCAAAUCAACAUCCACAGGCCAUUUUUGCCCAAUCAAACAUUCCUCCCAUUCCACAGGCUAUCACGCCCAGAUCGACAUCUACGGGCUUUUUUCGCCCAAAUCAAACAUUCCUCAAUGGCACAGGUAUAAUAUGACUUUUUCAUCUACUUGUCACAAUUCCACAAUUAUCUUAUUUAAAAAAUUUUAUAACACAUAACAUAAUAACAACCCAAUUCAAGGUUAAUAUGAAACUUAAAUCAAAAGCUCAUAUUCUAAGCUAUACAUAAAAUAUGACAUUUUAAAAUUUCCUACUCCUACUCAAUUCAAUUCACUUCAUAGUGAUUCACAAUAUAGACAUUUCACAUAAAGUCCUUCACAUUCAUAAAAUUUAUAAAAAUACUGCAAAUAUCAAUGAAAUUCACAAUUCACAUCCACAAACUCAAUAAUAAUAUCUCACAAUGUAAGAUAGGAUCAUUUGCUCUGAUACCAUUUGUAACGCCCCACCCCCGAAAUACUUAUUUUCAGGAAAUAAUUCCGAUAAUAGGCCCAAUUUAAACUCUUGUUUGAUUUACUACCAUUAAUCACGAUUCUUUACUUCAAUUCCUUAAUUCCUCACAAAACUAUAUCUAUAUUUUAAUUAUCAAAAUAUACGAUUAAAUUAUCAAUUUAAUCCCCAAAUUUCUUUUGUUAAAACAAUUUCUCAACAAAAAGAUUAAUUCUCGAUUAUUUAGGGCUGCAUCUAACCACUGUUAGACUACCUACGUACCCUUGAGCGAGAUCAAGCCCUUCAUAGUUCAACAUUCAUUCUUUUAUCCAUUUCCAAAAAUAUUCUAGUAACGGAAAUAUUCAACAUUAGCUUUCAUGAUCGAAUCACACCAAAUGGGUACUAUAACGCCCCAGAAAUUCUGUACGAAAACUAUUCACGAUGAUAGCCCCAAAAUAAAAUCAUGAUUAAUUAAUAUUCUAUUAACCACCAUAAAUCAAAUUCGAUCAUUUCAUGGCUAAAUAUAAAUAUAAAUAUAUAUAUAUAUAUAUAUAUAUAAUCACAUUUAAAUGGAAAUGACAUUUAUAUAACCAUUUCAUAUUCACAAAUGAUAUUAAUGUAAGAAAUCAAGGUAAUAACCAUAUCACAUAAAUUCGAGUCACUCUCUAACCAAUGUAGACCCACAAGACUUCACUUAGUAUCCCGUAGUACUAAAUUUAAAAUUCAGAACGUUAUGAGCCAAGUUUACCAAAAGUCAACUCUCGAUCAACGAUAGGGGCCACAACCCUACAGAAUUCGAUCUAGAAGAUCCACCGAUCAUAUUUCAGAUCUAUAACUUCCUAAGGUCUGCAUUAUUCUUAUAGAACGAUAUACUAAAUUCUCAUAGCGAUCCAACGGUCGGAUCUCCGCCAAUUAUUAAGAUUAGGUGGCAGUCAACAAUUUAUUUUACAAACUUAGAAAUCCAAUUCGGAAAGAUCCAUACUUCGGAUUUCCAAUCCGUCAGUUCCUAAUAUCCUCAAAUAUUAUGUUCUAUAAUGCAUUAGAGUUUGGUGACGAUCCAACGGUCAGAUCAUCAAUUUAAAUAAUAAUCAAGUAAUGCACCUUAAUGAAACUAGGUUCACAAUAAUCAAAUCGCAUACUACGGGUGUCAAAUCUGAGAUCAAGAUAUCAAUUUAUAAUAAAAUAGCAUCGGUAGCCCACUGGCCACGCACUGUCGCAAGUGGCGAUCGGCCGCCUCGACUCGCAGGAAAAUUCAAAUAUUUCCAAAAAUUACCAAAUUUUACAGGAAAGUAGAUCUUAGUGAGGGGAAAAAUUUUCAUACAUGUGACUAAGCCCAAUUUGGCCGGGAAUAGCUCCAAUUUUCCUCGAACACACCAGAAUCCUAAAAUUUGGAUGUUCUUCAAUUCGACCAAUCCGCAACACCACUGCCCCUAAAACUGUUUGGGCUUUGUUCCUGGCCUUAGGAGAAGUGGUUUGAUGGUGGCGGUGGUCGACAUUACUUUCACGAUUGUCGAAUUUCCACCGUGGCAUUCUCGGAACCCACGGGUUCCGUUCUGCCCGAAUUCAAGCUCAAACCCAAUAAAAUUUGGGUGGAAAUGGAAAAGGGAAGAGGCUGAUUGAUUUGAGGGUGGUGGUGAGGUUUAUAUUGCUAGAAAAUUGACGAAAAAUCAUCAGGAAGGUGGCGGAACGGGUCGGGUCUGAUGGGUUAUUCAGGUCAACCCGUUAACCCUUUCUUUCUUCUUUCCCAUCCCCUCAUUUCCCUCUUCCUGAUUGGUCAAUUCCCAAUCCCCCUUUCUCCUUUCUCUCCGUCCCUCUUCAUCACAGCCACACACAUGGCACUCCCAUUGCUUCAGAUUUUCUGGAGCCUUCCAAAUUAAUGGCAAAAUGACUAUUUUGCCCUCAACUUCAAUCGUUAAUAACUGCUUCGUUAUAACUCCGUUUUACUAACGGUUUUCGCCUACGCGCUCGUAGGAUCGUUCUUUAUUUAAUUAUAUCAAGAAAUCCGAUAAAAUAUAUGAGGAUAAAAUACGUCCUCGUAUAAUUACGUUAAGCUAACUAAGGCAUUUUCAUCUUUUUCACUUAUCGAUAAAUUUUACGACAUAAAUUAUAAUAAUUUCUGGAAACAAACUUUAAAAGUUCUCAAUUCAAUUUUUCAUAAUCAUAAAUCGAUUUAUUUUCGAUUUUUCUCCACAUAUUCAUAUGUUUAAAUUUUUAGGGUAUUACAACAAAAAUGGUGGAAGGGACGUUUCUAUCCUUCAUUUGCCAUCUAUAUUCAGAACUUUUUUGUGAGGUUGAGUCAGGUGAGUGGGUCAUCGUGAAAUGAGUAUGAAGUCAUUGGAGCAUUUCGAGCUAAAUAAUAGUAAUUGUCAUGUGGAAGGAAAUUUACAUACAACAUUGAUUUAUAGUGUGUGAAGUUAUGAUAGUGGUGUAACUGAUAGAAGUCACUCACGUUUUGAGGCAAUCAAGUCAGAAAAAAAUUAAUGAAAGGAAAUUAUUUUCCCACAUCCAUUAUCUCCAAUGUAGACUCAUUUUAUUUCUAGUCUUUAAAUUAAAAAAAAAUAAUCAAAAGAGAAUUAAUGAACAAACCAAACAAGAGUGCUUGUGCAGAAAAUUAAACCCGGGUUGCGAAAAUAAUUUUUUAAAAUUAGAAUAUAUAAUCUAGCACUUAACGUCCGUUAGUUAAAGUUUAAGACCAUCAAUGCACAAAUAGCUAGGUUGAUAUUUGGUGGGGGUCGCACUCCAGCCUUUGGGGUUUGGAACCAAUUAGAGUGGAGAUGUUGUGACCGAGUGUACUGCAAUGCCAGAGGUCAUGAUACCGACGACCGUGUUUUUUUAUUGGAAAGUCCAAAGUUCAAAAUAAAUGACAAAUACUAGAGUCUACAAUAAAGACAUAUUUGUACUUUAUAGCACUGCAUCAGGUCGUACAAUUGCCAGUUGCAUCGAUGGUGUGAAUUUACACUCAAUGCCAACACAGACCCGAUAAACAGAUCGUGUUUAUUGUGUUUGUAUCGUUUUUAUGUCAUAGUCAUUAUUUUAACAUGAUGUAUUAUGUCAAACUCGUUAUCUUAAUGAUUUUUUAAUAGGUGAUCUAAUAACGAUCCGAUUCAUUAACAAGUCGUGUCAUUUCGUGUUCGGUUAAGGGGUAUUGAAAUUUUCAUGUCUAAUGUAUAAAUCUGGUAAACGAUUUCUUCGGGUUCUUAAUGGGUGAUUGGAGAACGACCCCACUUGUUCACAAGUUCUUAAUGAGUGAUCUGAUAAUGACCCGACUUGUUAAAGAUUGACCCAAAACCUGUUAUCUUUCAUGUCAUUCUUAUUAAGUUAAUGAAUAAAUUUGGUAAUGUCUCCCAAGUUAAUAAUGAUCUUCCAAUUUGCUCUUCAAACUUUUAAUUUGAUUUCAACGGCUUAAUCUUUUAUAACUCUUCAAUUUGCGUUUAUAUGUUAAAUUUUCUCAUAUUUUCUUUGUUAGCUGCGGCACUUAAAUUGAUGCAUCUUAAAAGAUUAUGUAGCAAUUUAAGGGGAAAAAAGUAAGAUAAGGCCUUAAGUUCAUGAGACAUUGCUAAAGUCUACAAUAUAGUCUAAUGAAUCUGAUUCAUUUGUACAGAUGAACCAUGUCAAUCACCUACUAGUAUGCUCACAUUCAUUGAAAAUUCUAGGGUCAUCUUAUAUGAUUGAAUACACAUGACAUUUUGGCACACUGUAGCUCGUAUUUUUGACGAAAUUAGAGCUUUUGCACCUACUAGUAUCAUUUGCAAAUACCUUUGCUUGUUCGGUUUGCAAUUUAUGUUGCUACAACUUACGAGGAGCUCUUGAUUUUAUUAAAGAUGUGUUAAUUAGUUGUAGUAUGUGAGAUACUCUUUUUGCAGCCGAGUAAAACAUAAAAUUUACACAAAGAUGUUUAUGACACACAUGUACAUUGUCCCAAUAACAUUCUAUAUCGAUCAAUAUUAGUACAUGUGUAAUUUCUCUUUAUAUGAUGUUGUAUAUUAUUAAAAUAAGACACCACAAUGAUUGAUGUUGUAUAUUAUUAAACUAAGACACCGCAAUGAUAAUAUAAUUGUAUAGUUCAGUUGCUCUCUUAAAACAAAUAGUCCUUACGUGUUGAAAAUGAAUCUCACAUUGGUGGGAGGAGAAACUUUGAAUGGGCUUAUAAGCAAGGAAGAAAAUAUCGGUAAUAUCGGAAAUAUCGGUAGUCC
This 5776-nucleotide long non-coding RNA is filed under the name Malus domestica (apple). Its description in RNAcentral is "long non-coding RNA (MDOM_LNC009233)". Lineage: Eukaryota; Viridiplantae; Streptophyta; Magnoliopsida; Rosales; Rosaceae. The record is from RNAcentral.